Molecule: ribosomal RNA, 692 nt
Filed under: Saccharomyces cerevisiae (brewer's yeast)
Lineage: Eukaryota; Fungi; Ascomycota; Saccharomycetes; Saccharomycetales; Saccharomycetaceae
Description: partial large subunit ribosomal RNA
Rfam family: Eukaryotic large subunit ribosomal RNA (bases 1-585)
Source: RNAcentral
AACCAACUGGGUAUGCCCUUAGUACGGCGAGUGAGCGGCAAAAGCUCAAAUUUGAAAUCUGGUACCUUCGGUGCCCGAGUUGUAAUUUGGAGAGGGCAACUUUGGGGCCGUUCCUUGUCUAUGUUCCUUGGAACAGGACGUCAUAGAGGGUGAGAAUCCCGUGUGGCGAGGAGUGCGGUUCUUUGUAAAGUGCCUUCGAAGAGUCGAGUUGUUUGGGAAUGCAGCUCUAAGUGGGUGGUAAAUUCCAUCUAAAGCUAAAUAUUGGCGAGAGACCGAUAGCGAACAAGUACAGUGAUGGAAAGAUGAAAAGAACUUUGAAAAGAGAGUGAAAAAGUACGUGAAAUUGUUGAAAGGGAAGGGCAUUUGAUCAGACAUGGUGUUUUGUGCCCUCUGCUCCUUGUGGGUAGGGGAAUCUCGCAUUUCACUGGGCCAGCAUCAGUUUUGGUGGCAGGAUAAAUCCAUAGGAAUGUAGCUUGCCUCGGUAAGUAUUAUAGCCUGUGGGAAUACUGCCAGCUGGGACUGAGGACUGCGACGUAAGUCAAGGAUGCUGGCAUAAUGGUUAUAUGCCGCCCGUCUAAAAAAGGGGCCCAAAAAAAGUAAAAAAAAAGGAAAAAAAAAAACCACCCAAAACAACAACACACCACCAAACAAACACACCCAAAACCGCCAGCACAUUUCCUUCGGUAUGGCCG